UUUAACUACUCUUUUUGAUUUAUUAGAGAUGCUUGCAUCAUUUAAACCACCCUCAGGAAAAGUGGCAGUGGAUGAUAGUGAGAGCUUACGAUGUGAAGAACUUCAUCUUCAUGCAGAAAAUCUGUCUAGGCGGGUCUGGGAGCUACUGAUGCUUCUUCCUACAUGUCCUAAUAUGUUGAUGGCAUUCCAGAAUAUCUCAGAUGAGCAGGCAGCCAAUCCUUUCUUUAAGUUGUUGACUAUGCUAAUGGAGUUUGCUGGUGGACCUCCAGGAAUGCCUCCCUUUGCAUCUUACAUUCUGCAGAGGAUAUGGGAGGUGAUUGAAUACAAUCCUUCUCAGUGUCUAGAUUGGUUGGCAGUGCAGACACCCCGAAAUAAACUGGCACACAGCUGGGUCUUACAGAAUAUGGAAAACUGGGUCGAGCGGUUUCUUUUGGCUCACAAUUAUCCUAGAGUGAGGACUUCUGCAGCUUAUCUUCUGGUGUCCCUUAUACCAAGCAAUUCAUUCCGUCAGAUGUUCCGGUCAACAAGGUCUUUGCACAUCCCAACCCGUGACCUU
This 556-nucleotide small RNA is filed under the name Pongo abelii (Sumatran orangutan). RNAcentral describes it as "processed transcript". The record is from RNAcentral. Lineage: Eukaryota; Metazoa; Chordata; Mammalia; Primates; Hominidae.